This 2449-nucleotide long non-coding RNA is filed under the name Homo sapiens (human). RNAcentral describes it as "novel transcript". The record is from RNAcentral. Lineage: Eukaryota; Metazoa; Chordata; Mammalia; Primates; Hominidae.
UAUUGGCAUUGUUAUGGCAUUAACAGCUAUAUAUAUGUACUUUUUUCAAAACAACAUUUAUAGCAUAACUUGAAUUUUCUAUUUAUUAGUAUAUACAUUUUUCUUCUUUUGAAAUGUGUAUUUUCUAGUUUAUUGGAUAUUGAAAACAAUCUUUGAUUUAUCAUUGUAAUUUAAGUUCACUGUCUCUUUUCCAGCAAUUAUUCUUUUUUCUCUUUUGUGCAGUAGUAGAAAACAAAAUCCAAGCAAGCAUAGACCGGCAAGAUAUUCAGCUGUCUGGAAGUCUGGAGAUUUUGUCCAGCAAGAAGCCCCCUAACAAAAGGCAGAAUGCCAAACUGAGUGCUGACCUCUGACAUGGCUCUGAUACCCCAGGCCCAUUAAGAGAGCCUUUUCUCCCAGCGGGGAGGUGAUAGAAUAUUCUGAAUUUUCUGUUGAAAAACUAAGACUAUAUGCAAAGAAAAAUUCCCCCCAACGGGUGCAAUUCUAUCUGGAUGAUGCCGUCUCAAAAUAAAUAGCCUGUGAGGUUUGUGGCUUAGAAGACUUGUGACCCCAUACCUCUUUGUGUCGUUUUGAAAUUUUGCCUCCAGUUCUGUUUCUCUGACAAGACCCAUGGCCACCUGCAGCCUAAUGCUGCCAUGAAGCUUUGUUCUGCUCUUUGGUUGCUGCUGGGUUCUUCUUGGAUUGAAAAGAAAAAUCACUUCAAUCAGUCCAUCUAUAAUGAAAUACUGAUCUAAUGUUUGAUACUCCACCAUGAAAUUAAAAUGAAACCGCCCUUGCCACCUCCACCCCCAGCGCCUGUUUCCGAAAGUUUUAUGAAGCUUCGUGGAUGCUUUACCUCAAAGAUGCCCUUGGGCUUCCUCCAGGAGAAUGAAGAGGGGCAGGUCUCCAGCUGAAUCUGUGCCUACAAAUGGAAUCAAAGUCUCAUCAAAGUCUCAGUCAGUUCCUGAGGCAGAAGAGAUGGGUGUGUCUUAUCCAAGAUUUCUCUGGCUCCAGGGGCAGGUCUCCAGCUGAAUCUGUGCCUACGAAUGCAAUCAAAGUCUCAUCAAAGUCUCAGUUCCUGAGGCAGAAGAGAUGGGUGUGUCUUAUCCAAGAUUUCUCUGGCUCCAGGGGCAGGUCUCCAAUGCAAACAAAGUCUCAUCAAAGUCUCAGUUCCUGAGGCAGAAGAGAUGGGUGUGUCUUAUCCAAGAUUUCUCUGGCUCCAGGGGCAGGUCUCCAGCUGAAUCUGUGCCUACAAAUGGAAUCAAAGUCUCAUCAAAGUCUCAGUCAGUUCCUGAGGCAGAAGAGGUGGGUGUGUCUUAUCCAAGAUUUCUCUUAUGGAACAAAGUUACAUCAAAGCCAAUUUAAAAGCCUAUGUAAAAAAAAUUAUUAUUAUUGAUGCAAUGUAUACAAAUAUAUAGACCAAUAUAAUAAGUUUACUAUUCCUACCAUGAUUUGUCUUUAGUAAAAUGGGAAACUGGAGAAAAACUUAUGUUUCCAAAUGAUUAUAUAUCUGUGUUAGAUUCUAGUCUUGCCUAAUUUUUUUUCAAUUUGGAUUACUUUCUACAGUUUGGACCAAAUUCUAAUUUUUUUUUAUUACAAGUCUCCAAAAUAAUUUUUAAAUUUUUUUUUCCUUCUUUUUUCCAUUUUUCCUAAUUUGGAGUCACUGAAAACUAAGCUGUGCUUUCUUAAAAUCCUGUGAACUGAAGCCAGACAACUUAAACUUCAGAAGAAAAUAACAGCAACCUAUUUACAUACAUAAACCACUUUCAUACCUGCCUACUGAUGCAUAGACUUCAGAGUAAUGAGGCCUAUAUCAAAUGUUUCCCGGAUUGUUCUUUUGUUUGUUGUUGUUUUCUCUCUCUUCCUCCCACUAUUUUCUCUUCGCAGGACAUGAGACUUAACAACCUGCUAAAAAUGAGCUUUUGGGACCUACCCAUCAAGGAAUAAACUGUCCUCGCCAUGAGAGAUCAAAUGAAACCUGAGACCAGAGACUCAUUUUCUUGUAAAAUGCUUUCUCCAACAGAUUUUUAAAAAGAAAAGGGGGGAAAUGUGAAAGGAAAAUAUCUGUGGUCCCCAAAAUCACGAAGGAAAACUCAAGCCGGGAACUGCUUAGGGCAAACCUGCCUCCCAUUCUAUUCAAAGUCACUCCUUUGCCCAAUCAGAUAGAUGCUUAUCUGAUUUGCCUCCUUUGGAAAGGCUGAUCAGAAACUCAAAAGAAUGGAACCAUUUGUGUAACAGCCAUCUGUGACCUGGAAGCUUCCUUCCCACUUCAGUCUUCCUGCCUUUGCUUCAAGUUGUCCUGUCUUUCCAGAUGAAGCAAUGUACUUCUUAACAUAUAUUGACUGAUGUCUCAUGAUGUCUCCCUAAAUGUAUGAAACCAAGCUGUGCCUGACAACCUUGGACAUAUUUUGUCAAGACUUCCCUGAGGCUGUCAUUGGUGCAUCCUCAACCUUGGCAAAAUAAACUUUCUAAA